AGUGAACGCUGGCGGUAGGCCUAACACAUGCAAGUCGAACGGCAGCACAGUAAGAGCUUGCUCUUACGGGUGGCGAGUGGCGGACGGGUGAGGAAUACAUCGGACUCUACUUUUUCGUGGGGGAUAACGUAGGGAAACUUACGAUAAUACCGCAUACGACCUACGGGUGAAAGCAGGGGAUCUUCGGACCUUGCGCGAUUGAAUGAGCCGAUGUGGUAUUAGCUAGUUGGGGGGGUAAAGGCCCACCAAGGCGACGAUCCGUAGCUGGUCUGAGAGGGUGAUCGGCGACACGGGAAGUGAGACACGGACCAGACUCCUGCGGGAGGCAGCAGUGUGGAAUAUUGGACAAUGGGGGGGAGCCUGAUCCAGCCAUACCGCGUGGGUGAAGAAGGCCUUGGGGUUGUAAAGCCCUUUUUUUGGGAAAGAAAAGCAGCAGGUUAAGACCCCGCUGUUCUGACGGUACCCAAAGAAUAAGCACCGGCUAACUUCGUG
Molecule: ribosomal RNA, 492 nt
Filed under: uncultured bacterium
Lineage: Bacteria
Description: partial 16S ribosomal RNA
Rfam family: Bacterial small subunit ribosomal RNA
Source: RNAcentral